RNAcentral lists this ribosomal RNA (492 nucleotides) under uncultured bacterium. RNAcentral's name for it is "partial 16S ribosomal RNA". It matches the Rfam family "Bacterial small subunit ribosomal RNA", at positions 29 to 507 of the family's 1533-position model. The record is from RNAcentral.
AGUGAACGCUGGCGGUAGGCCUAACACAUGCAAGUCGAACGGCAGCACAGUAAGAGCUUGCUCUUACGGGUGGCGAGUGGCGGACGGGUGAGGAAUACAUCGGAAUCUACUUUUUCGUGGGGGAUAACGUAGGGAAACUUACGCUAAUACCGCAUACGACCUACGGGUGAAAGCAGGGGAUCUUCGGACCUUGCGCGAUUGAAUGAGCCGAUGUCGGGUUAGCUAGUUGGCGGGGUAAAGGCCCACCAAGGCGACGAUCCGUAGCUGGUCUGAGAGGAUGGUCAGCCACACUGGAACUGAGACACGGUCCAGACUCCUACGGGAGGCAGCAGUGGGGAAUAUUGGACAAUGGGCGCAAGCCUGAUCCAGCCAUACCGCGUGGGUGAAGAAGGCCUUCGGGUUGUAAAGCCCUUUUGUUGGGAAAGAAAAGCAGCAGGUUAAUACCCCGCUGUUCUGACGGUACCCAAAGAAUAAGCACCGGCUAACUUCGUG